This 486-nucleotide ribosomal RNA is filed under the name uncultured bacterium. Its description in RNAcentral is "partial 16S ribosomal RNA". It matches the Rfam family "Bacterial small subunit ribosomal RNA", at positions 30 to 507 of the family's 1533-position model. The record is from RNAcentral.
AUUGAACGCUGGCGGCAUGCCUUACACAUGCAAGUCGAACGGCAGCACAGGUGCUUGCACCUGGUGGCGAGUGGCGAACGGGUGAGUAAUACAUCGGAACAUGUCCUGUAGUGGGGGAUAGCCCGGCGAAAGCCGGAUUAAUACCGCAUACGAUCCACGGAUGAAAGCGGGGGACCUUCGGGCCUCGCGCUAUAGGGUUGGCCGAUGGCUGAUUAGCUAGUUGGUGGGGUAAAGGCCUACCAAGGCGACGAUCAGUAGCUGGUCUGAGAGGACGACCAGCCACACUGGGACUGAGACACGGCCCAGACUCCUACGGGAGGCAGCAGUGGGGAAUUUUGGACAAUGGGCGAAAGCCUGAUCCAGCAAUGCCGCGUGUGUGAAGAAGGCCUUCGGGUUGUAAAGCACUUUUGUCCGGAAAGAAAUCCUUGACUCUAAUACAGUCGGGGGAUGACGGUACCGGAAGAAUAAGCACCGGCUAACUACGUG